GGAUGCGAUUAUAAUAGCACUAAAGUACCGGAUCCCAUCAGAACUCCGAAGAUAAGCAUGCUUGGGCGAGAGUAGUGUACUAGGAUGGGAGACCACGUGGGAAGUCCUCGUGUUGCUUUCC
Molecule: non-coding RNA, 121 nt
Organism: Triticum aestivum (bread wheat)
Lineage: Eukaryota; Viridiplantae; Streptophyta; Magnoliopsida; Poales; Poaceae
Source: Rfam